GGACCGUGCGUGUGUGUGUGUGUGUGUGUGUGUGUGUGUGUGUGCGCGCGCGCGCGCGCGCGCGCAUUGGGGUGACUCAGCUUUGCUGUUGUACUAGGCUGAGGCCUCACGUGGGAUUGAAGCGUCAGGCUCCGGAGGUUUUAAAGCUGCGCUGUCCAGUAGGGCGGCCACCAGCCUGUGUGCUAUAGCCCUUGAGACGUGGCUAGUGAGACCGAGGAACUGCAUUUUAAAUGUUACAUACAUUUAAUCUAUUUAAAUAUACUCUUUAAGGCAAAUGUUCAUUUUACCUACUGGAACAUUUUUAAGUAUGUUUGGAACAACGUGGAUACGUGAAUCUGCUUUUUCGACCGUAAAUUAUCUGAACUCUAAAUAUAGAUCAAAUAUUUUAAAUCAAAAUGUAGUGUCUAAAUUAAGAUGUGCUGCUGAGUAUAAAAUGCCCUCUGGGUUUUGAAGACUUAAUACAAAAACAAAGACUAUAAACUACCUCAUUAAUAUUCUCAUAUUGGUUUUACGUUUUGGCUGUAUUGGGUUGAAUAAAAUUUAUCAUUAUACCCAGUUUCACCUAUUUCUUCUUACUCUGUUACGUGGCUAACAGAGCAUUUUAAAUGAUACAUGGCCCUCGUUAUACUUCCAUUGGGCAGUGCUGUUUCAGAGCAUGUGCAAGAGAUUAUUCUUUACCCUCUGGCACUGCAAACGAUUUUCAGUGCGCGGAGGAACUGAAGAAACUCCAAGAAGAGGAACGGCAAUCUGAAAAAAGAACCCAGCCAUCUCGGGAGUCGCAGCCACCGCCGGCGCCAUCACAGUCGCAGCCACCGCCGGCGCCAUCACGGUCGCCACACGCGCAGCCGCAGCCGCAGCCUCCGCAGGUGCCCGAGCGGCCGCCGCCGCCGCCGCCGCCGCCGCCUCAGCCAAAGCCACAAAAUGCCCAAGACCCUCUUACUGAGCGCACCUCCCGGUACAUUCUCCAGGAUUCCCAAAGGCCAGGCGCCCACAAGGACAGAUUCCAAGGAGGGGUGAUGAACCCUCAAGGUGCAGGUGUCGGGAAAUCUAGCCCAGAUACACACACCAAGUACCCACGAUUCACGGCGCAAAGGAUGGGAGAACCUGAUCCCGGCCCUUUAAGACGAGGACUGGGCUGCUACAUCAUCUCACUUUGAUUACUCGGGCUUCAGAGGGCUGAAGACAAUGUUCUCAAACCAGCAGGCCCAGGAGCUGCUAACUAACCUGUUCUGCCUCCUGUCUCUCCCUCUUCUCAGUCAACGAACUACAUCCAGCAGUGGUGAUUCAGAGACAGACCCCCGAGACCCCACUGGCCGGCCAUCAGCAAACAUCAGAUGAGCAGCCCCGUCUUCCUACCUCCCAGCAGCAUCUCCACUUCAAAAGCCAAGCCCUCCUGAUCCACUCUGGCAGGGGAGGCUAGCUGGGAAUCACGUGUGAUUUCUUCCUGCAAAGAAUCGAGAGACUGGCUGGGCUCCGUGAGACAGAGAUGAGGGGGAGGGCCCAGGAAGACCCACGAAGAGGAUGGAGAGGGUGUGAGAAGACAGUGGAGGGCAAUUCCAUGCUUCCCCAGGCAAAGCCAACGGGAGAACUUGGCCUUGGGCCCCCCAGGUCUACAGCUCCACUACUGGCCCUUAUCUAGCAGUGAUAUCACGGACUCUCACUGGAGCCACCAGCCCUUCCUCCUGGCCGAUGCUUAUUGAGAUGCACCUGGGGAAGCGUGGGUUGCAUCACACCAGAGCAGACCUGGGACCUGGGGCAGCAUCAGGAAGAAGUGGCACGCAGGGGCCUCCCCCAAGCGCAGUGUCGUGCCUGGUCCACGGUGGGCACUCCGCUGUUGAACGGAGGGUGGUUGGAAGGGAUGGAGAGAAAGAACUCGGAGGAAAGGAGGACUGUAGCCUCAGGCACAGGACGCCUGACCUUGGGAAGAGGGGGACUGGCCCCCCCCCCACCCAAUCCACAGGCCUCUUCCUCCCUGAGUCUCAGCCUUUCCAUGUAGCAGAGACAACCCAGAGGCUCUGGAGGCCCCAGGCAUCUGCCUCACCUCUUCCUGAAACUGACACCUGGGGUCCCCCAGCCCUGCUCCCUCUUCCACUCUUGACUGGUGAGGGGGAUGCCUGGGUCCUUUCACCGUAGCGUCUCACCUUUGGGUGAGACUGAAGGAGCCUCUCAGUGCAGUGUUUCCUGAGAGGAGCAGUUGGGGGAAGCGAAGGAGCGGGGGCGCACGGAACGGGAGCAUUGAAGUUGGGAGGGGCUCAGAGACACACAACGAGGGAAGGGGAGCGAGCGAGCUCCUGGGAGCGGUCUCCCGGAAGGCAGAGAGGCCGGGCGUGUUCCCGAGGGGCUCAGGGACUGGGGAAGAGACCUUGAUGCCCACUUGGAUAUUAAGGAACAGGCUGUGUGAGAUGGGGAGCGUCCACCGGCUCCCUUCCCACUCACAGGAGCCUUUUAUUUUCCUUCCUUAAACACGGUUAAGCACAGCUGAUUGACUCCAACAUAAAUCCAUUACAUCUGACGAGCUCCACCCAGCGUGAGCUCCAGCCUGGCCCUCGUGGACUUCCGUGCUCUUACCAGCACCACCUCGACGCCAGUUACCCAGGCGUGAAAGCGUGCGGACAGCACGAACUCCUUCCUUCCCCUCAUCCCCCCGGCCGGCUCCUCACCAGGUUCUGGCCCCACGUGCCCUUCUCCGCCCUUCCGACUGCAAACUCAGCUUUCCCUGCCGCUCAAGCUCACCUCUCUGCCUGUCUGACUGAUGGAAACCCGUGACCGCCUUUCGUGAGCAAACACAAUUCCUGCUCGCCUAAAGAACCUGGGGUUUGCCUGGGGCUUCUCGUCACCUGAGUGACAGCAAAGAGGGGACGGCCUGGACCAGUCCCGACUGAUAGGCAGCUCCAUACUGUCAGCGCCCAAAGGAGAGCAGAGGCCUCUGGGAGCAGAGGGCGCCCUGGGACUAGGCUGGGGGUGCAGCGGGACCCAGCAGUCCGGCCUCACCUCUGCAGGUUUUCAGCGGGAGAGCGGCUGCACCCACCGUUUGACCUGCCUGUGUCCCCUCACGUGCGCUCAGGCUUGUGGCCUCCUUCAAUAAAAACCUUUUAAAAUGA
This is a non-coding RNA of Delphinapterus leucas (beluga whale), 3101 nucleotides long. The record is from RefSeq and is a predicted model, not a curated record. NCBI's taxonomy places the organism in Eukaryota, Metazoa, Chordata, Mammalia, Artiodactyla, Monodontidae.